Non-coding RNA from Thamnophis sirtalis, 391 nucleotides. Lineage: Eukaryota; Metazoa; Chordata; Lepidosauria; Squamata; Natricidae. The record is from RefSeq and is a predicted model, not a curated record.
GUUACGAAUUGCACUGGAGAUGAGCUGUACUGUGCCGAAGGACUUCUGGAUAUAAGUCUUCUGGAGGUCAGCUUGAAGGGAUGUGCAAACAGAGCUCUCUGUGAUAGUCUGGUUGGAUAUGAAGCCAUGGCUCCUGUAAACAGUGGACAUCACGCUAUGCAAUGCACACCAGACUCUUCAAUCUACCAACAGGAAGUCUCCACCGUUGGCCAAUGGAAUGACCUAACUCAAGGGAACUCUGGGGGUGUUAAUAAUUCCAUACCCAGAUGGUUUGGGCUCAUCAUCACAAUUCUUUCUGGCAUCCUUCUGGGGAAACUCCUGGGUUGAUUUUUGCCAAGUGUAAAGAUUUCAUCAUAGGAGAAAAAUCGAGCUGGCCUUUGGUAUUCCAAAA